GACAGUGGAUAGCCGCGGCCGCGGUCCGGCAUGGCCCGGAUCGAGGAAAGUCCGGACUCCACAGGGCAAGGUGCUGGAUAACGUCCAGGCAGGGUGACCUGACGGAAAGUGCCACAGAAAACAUACCGCCAUCCCACGGGGGAUGGUAAGGGUGAAAUGGUGCGGUAAGAGCGCACCGCUCGUCCGGUGACGGACGGGGCACGGUAAACCCCACCCGGAGCAAAACCAAAUAGGGGAGGAGAGACGGCCCGUCUCGCUUGACUCCCGGGUAGGUUGCGCAUUCAGCCGCCGGAGUGAUCCGGGGCGCAGAUGAAUGGCCGCUAGACCGCGCGUUUGCGCGGCGAAACAGAAUCCGGCUUAUGCUCCGCUGUCCUGU
Molecule: RNase P RNA, 376 nt
Filed under: Candidatus Glassiibacteriota bacterium
Lineage: Bacteria; Candidatus Glassiibacteriota
Description: Candidatus Glassbacteria bacterium RNase P RNA component class A
Rfam family: Bacterial RNase P class A
About the family: Ribonuclease P (RNase P) is a ubiquitous endoribonuclease, found in archaea, bacteria and eukarya as well as chloroplasts and mitochondria.
Source: RNAcentral